AGCAAUCUGCCUUGGAGUGGGGAAUAACGGCUGGAAACAGCCGCUAAUACCGCAUGAUACAGCUGGGAGGCAUCUCCCUGGCUGUCAAAGAUUUAUCGCUCUGAGAUGAGCUCGCGUCUGAUUAGCUAGUUGGCGGGGUAACGGCCCACCAAGGCGACGAUCAGUAGCCGGACUGAGAGGUUGGCCGGCCACAUUGGGACUGAGACACGGCCCAGACUCCUACGGAAGGCAGCAG
Molecule: ribosomal RNA, 235 nt
Filed under: uncultured bacterium
Lineage: Bacteria
Description: partial 16S ribosomal RNA
Rfam family: Bacterial small subunit ribosomal RNA
Source: RNAcentral